RNAcentral lists this small RNA (2166 nucleotides) under Oryza sativa Japonica Group (Japanese rice). RNAcentral describes it as "misc RNA Os08g0414300". The record is from RNAcentral. Lineage: Eukaryota; Viridiplantae; Streptophyta; Magnoliopsida; Poales; Poaceae.
UUUUGUGACGGAGAGAGUACUAUUGGAAAGAUCAGCUAGUUGGAAAAUGCCAUCUAGUUGUAACUAAUAUGUUGGACAGGGGAAAGUUACAUUGCUAAGGUCUAAAGUGGAAGAAUUAAGGGUUUUUUAACUUUUAGUCAUGGUGAAUCUUCACUGACUUGAUAAUUGACUUAGUUGUCUUAUGUUGGAAGCCACAAGUUCCGGAUUGAUGGAAUUACUGAGUCCCACUGCAAAAAUCACCAAGUUGGAAAAUGAUCAAAAGAUGGAAUUUGUUUUUUCCGUAAUUUUCUCUGAUUGAAAUGAUUGUUUAGGUGUUAUCAUCCAUUCAUCCUAAUAGUAGACUAGGAUAGUACGACAUAACUGUUCUCUCUACAUGCUUUGUUUUGUCAUCAUUUUGUUGUGCUACUGUGACCAUAAUUGUUGUUAUAUGUGAAUGUUUGGUGGCAUGAUCAUCCUGAAAUUAUAACUUGUCAAUUGUCAUACUUGUGGUGUCCAUCUCUGUUCUGGUGCAUGUGCCAAGCAAGCUAUUGCUAAUGAUCUGUCAUGUUGGUGUCCAUAUGCUGUUGGUAGAUAAAUCAGUUGUUGAGUUUGAUGGCUCAUUUUGUACGGUUGCCUUGGGACCUUCAUUUAGUCUGUGUUGUGUUGCCUAAAUCCUAAUGCACAGUAGGAUGUGCUAUUUUAUCCAGUUUUCAGUUCUAGACGGAAACCCUGAAUGCUCUGGAGAUCUGGUGAGAAGUACAUUUUCAUUACUCUAGUGUUAUCUGUUCCUGUAGUUCAUGAUUAAUUCUGUGUCAUGUGGUUUUGCUCUGGUAGCGCCUGCCUAACUCUAUUAGGAAGGGUCUUGUACGCUCAUUAUUGUCCCCCUAAGUUAGGAAGGUCAUGCACCAAACCAAACUUGAGAGCUGCAAAUGAACAUCACCACACAAGGGUAAUAAAUGAUUCUGUUAUAUGCUGUCUCUCCUCAUUCUUUUUGUUCAGUUACAUCUAUAUGUAGUGAUGUCGGAUAAACAAACACCUGUUACUUUCUAUGUACUUUAAGAGCGAGGUGGAGGUGAAGUUAUCAGUGUGUUUUUUUAUGAAUUACUCCCCAAAUUUCUUCAGUAGUAUGCAAUAAGGCUUCCAUGUGUUUGUUUGUUCUUAUUAUUUGACAACCUUCUGAGAUCACAUUUUAACAUGGAAAAGCCCGAUACAACCUAAUUGUUAUGUGUGGGUAAAAUUUGCAAUUAGGGCGCAUAAACACUGUCAAAUGCUCCUUAGAACAAAAGAAUGAAAGACAUGUUCGAUGCAAAGAUCACAUUGUUUUUAAUAACUCUUUAAUAACAAUAUUAAUAAUUUUGUAAACAUGUUAACUAAUCAGUAUGGUCAAUUUCCUUUUACAACUAUUUAUUUCUAGGACAUUUAAUGUUUUAGUUCUUAUCAUUCCCAGAAUCUUUACAAGAUAAAUGUCGAGACAUUUUUCAGAGGGCAUAUUAGCCUGCUCAAACUGAUCAAUAGAGAAUUAGGCACUUUGUUGUCUGAUUUGACCAUUUUAAUGUUAAUAUUUUAAUUAAAUUUGUACAUACCAAAGUUAGUUGUGCAGCUUGCCUUUCCUGAUAUAGCUUUGUUUGUUAAUAUAUUCUCUGUUUUCUUAGUCAAUACCGUGCAUGAUUCUAAAUAUUUUUUUGCUUGACCAUUGUUGUAAUAUUUCUUUCUGUUUGUGUUCCGCAGGUGGCAAGAAUUUUGUAGAGCGCUGGCUUUCUUCUCUUCCAAACUGAUUAUUUAUCCAUUCUUCUAUGGCUUCGUUAUCUUUAGCAUUUUUAUGUCUCUCGUAUUUGUAAAUAUAUCGAUGAAGACAUGAACCCCAGAAAACACCCAACAAAAAAGAAGAUUAAAAGUUGAGGAGCAGUGGACCGAGAUUCCAACGUUAAGGUACUCUUGCAGUGUACUAAGAGUCAUGAAAACGAAAGAUUACUGCCACGUGCUGACAACCUGAAGUUGAAUCGACGAAUUGUUAAGAUUACCAUUGAUCUACUUGCUUCGGGAUGUUUAAUCUACCUGUAUAUGAUGGCAGUUUACCUCAUUUGUGUGACUGAAAUUCUUCUGUACAUAUAUGAAGGCAGAAACAUUUGAGAUGAACUCCAAUGAGAAUAUGCAUUUCUUCUGUAUAUAUAAUAAACGAUUGUCCGU